RNAcentral lists this ribosomal RNA (234 nucleotides) under uncultured bacterium. Its description in RNAcentral is "partial 16S ribosomal RNA". It matches the Rfam family "Bacterial small subunit ribosomal RNA", at positions 102 to 334 of the family's 1533-position model. The record is from RNAcentral.
ACGGGUGAGUAACACGUGGUCAACCUACCCUUUUGUGGGGGAUAACUAGCCGAAAGGUUAGCUAAUACCGCAUACGCUCUACGAGUGGCAUCACUUAUAGAGGAAAGGAGCAAUCCGCUUAAGGACGGGACUGCGUCCCAUUAGCUAGUUGGUGGGGUAAUGGCCUACCAAGACUCCGAUGGGUAGCUGGUUUGAGAGAGCGACCAGCCACACUGGGACUGAGACACGGCCCAG